UUGAAACUUGUUGAGAAUAGACCAACAUAGACCCCAGUCAUUGUUGCAAUUAAUAAGAAGUAAUAAGGAAAGAGAGGUUAACAUAUAAAUAUAUCAUCUUAGACACUUUCUAUAAUUGUGAGCACUCGCCAAACUAUUACAUGCUUAGAAGUAGAUGUUGGACAAGAAAGACAACUUAAUGAAUUGUGUUUGCUUGGUUCCAAACAAUGUUAUAUGUUUAGAGAUCCCUUAGCAUGUGACGAUUGCUUCCACCUCAUAUUAGCCCAAACUCCCGCACCAAGUAGAGAUACUACUUGUGCAUCCAUAAACCUUCAACCCAGUUUUGCUAUGAGUGUCCACCAUACCUACCUGUGGAUUGAAUAAGAUCCCUCAAGUAAGUUGCAUCGGUGCAAGCAAUAAAAAUUGCUCUCUAAUAUGUAUGAUCUAUUAGUGUGUGGAAAAUAAGCUUUAUACGAACCUUUGAUGAGGAAGACAUAAAAGCGACAGACUGCAUAAUAAACUUCUUUAUCACAGGAGGCAAUAUAAAGUGACGUUCCUCCGCACUAAGAGGACACACAUCCAAACCUCAAAAGCGCAUGACAACCUCUACUUCCCUCUGCGAAGGGCCUAUCUUGUACCUUUACUUUUGCCCUUGAAAGAGUCAUGGUGAUCUUCACCAAUUCCUUAUUCCAUCUUCAUCUUGGUGAACGUCAUAUGCUAUGGAAAGAUCUAUAUUGAUAUAUCAACUUGGAGAUGAGUACUUAUGCUUUAUUAUUGUUGACUUUACUCUUGAGCUAAAUGGUUGGGAGGCAAAAUUAUAAGCCCCUAUCUUUCACUGUAUCCAACUGAAACUUUGAUACCAUGAGUACCACGUGAGUUGUAACAAUUGUGAAAAACAAAAGAGAUGAUUGAGUAUGUGGAUUUGCUUUACAAGCUUUUAUUUGACUCUUUCUGAUGAUAUGAUAAAUUGCAAUUGCUUCAAUGACUAUGGACUAUUGUUGGCCACUUCUAGGUAAGGUUUUUGUUUCAUGCUUUACUUUGUGAAGGAAUUGUUACUUUCCCAUGAGAAUCUUUAUGAUGUAUUGCUGUUCUAUGUGUGAUCAUGAUGCCCUCAUGUUUGUAUUAUGUUUUAUCGACACCUUCAUCCCUAAACAUGUGGACAUGUUUAUGGAUCUUGGUUUUCGCUCGAGGACAAGCAAGGUCUAAGCUUGGGGGAGUUGAUACGUCCAUUUUGCAUCAUGCUUUCAUGUUGAUAUUUAUCUCUUUAUAGACUGUUAUUAUACUUUGUGGUACCAUACUUAUGCCUUUUCUCUCUUAUUUUGCAAGGUCUAUUUGAAGAGGGAGAAUACCGGCAGCUGGAAUUUUGGACUGGAAAAGGAGCAAGUCUGAGUCCUCUAUUCCGCGCAACUCCAAAUGCCCUUAAAAUAAACGUGGAAUUUUUUGGGAAUAUAUAAAAAAUAUUGGGCGAAAGAAGUGCCAGAGGGGAGCUGCCAGGGGCCCACAAGCCUGGUGGCCGCGGCCUACCCCCGUGGCCGCAGCAUCAGGGCUUGUGGGCACCCUGGUGGCCCACUUGCCCCCCUCUUCUGCUAUAUGAAGGGUUUCAUCCGGAAAAAAAAUCAGGGGGAGCUUUUUCGUGGAUUCUCCGCCGCCACGAGGCAGAACUUGAGCAGAACCAAUCUAGAGCUCUGGUAGGACGAACCUGCCAGAGAAACUUCCCUCCCGGAGGGGGAAAUCGUCGCCAUCAUCAUCACCAACACUCCUCUCAUCGGAGGGGACUCAUCACCAUCAACAUCUUCAUCAGCACCAUCUCAUCUCCAAACCCUAGUUCAUCUCUUGUAACCAAUCCCGUCUCGCGACUCCGAUUGGUACUUGUAAGGUUGCUAGUAGUGUUGAUUACUCUUUGUAGUUGAUGCUAGUUGGAUUACUUGGUGGAAGAGUUUAUGUUCAGAUCCUUGAUGCUACUCAUUACACCUCUGAUCAUGAUUAUGAUUAUGCUUUGUGAGUAGUUACUUUUGUUCCUGAGGACAUGGGAUAAGUCAUGCUAAUAAUAGUCAUGUGAAUUUGGUAUUCGUUCGGUAUUUUGAUAUGUUGUAUGUUGUCUUUUCCUCUAGUGGUGUUAUGUGAAUGUCGACUACAUAACACUUCACCAUAUUUGGGCCUAGAGGAAGGCAUUGGGGAGUAGUAAGUAGACGAUGGGUUGCUAGAGUGACAGAAGCUUAAACCCCAGUCUAUACGUUGCUUCGUAAGGGGCUGAUCUGGAUCCACUAGUUUAAUGGUAUGGUUAGACAUUGUCUUAAUUCUUCUUUUGUAGUUGCGGAUGCUUGCGAGAGGGGUUAAUCUUAAGUGGGAUGCUUGUCCAAGUAAGGGCAGUACCCAAGCGCCGGUCCACCCACAUAUUAAACUAUCAAAGUAACGAACGCGAAUCAUAUGAACAUGAUGAAACUAGCAUGACAGAAAUUCCCGUGUGUCCUCGGGGGCGUUUUACUUCCUAUAAGACUUUGUUCAGGCGUGUCCCUUACUACAAAAGGGAUUGGGCCACUUUGCUGCACCGUUGCUACUCUUGUUACUUGUUACUUUUCACUUGCUACGUUUCACCUCACUACACCAUCACUUGUUACCGCUACUUUCAAUGCUUGCAGUUAUUACCUUGCUGAAAACCAUUUAUUGGAGCCUUCUGCUCCUCGUUGGGUUCGACACUCUUACUUAUCGAAAGGACUACGAUUGAUCCCCUAUACUUGUGGGUCCUGAGUGAGUAGGACUGCCCCGGCACAAUGUCGUGGAAGACAAUACUAGUCGGGAACAUGUCCUUCUCCUUGAGCCCCAACUUGAGGAGGGUGUCGCAGUAGAGGAUGUUGGUGCUGCUACCGCCGUGGACCAACACCCCCCAGAACCGGCAGGUCAGUCUCUUGGAAGUGAUGGUGGGGUCGAGGACGAGCACAUAGGUGCCGAGGUUCAGCAUCACUGCCAGAUGGACAACCCGGCUCCAUGUAAAUAGCUUUUCGGACCAGUGCAUGUAUUGGGGAACCGAGGGCACAAUGGCAUUCACCUCAUGUCGGUGCUGGUGUUGGAUGUGCUUGUCGGCUCCCUCGCUGGUGAAGACGACGUAAGCUCCGUCUUUAUUAGGAAACUGAUCGUGGAUACGACCAUCAUUGGGAGGCGGCAGAGCUGGAGCUGGAGCCGGCUCAGGAGCCGGAGCUCGAGGAGCCAGCGAUGGAGGAGCCGGCAGGCCCUCGCCACGGGUUGGGCGCUAUGAGAAGCUUCCCUACCGGAGCGUGUGGGUAGACGGCUUCACCUCAGUAUGCAUGUUGCAAGAUGUGUCAAGCAUCUGCUCGAAGGUGAGCUUGGGCUGCCAGGCGGCCUUGCCAGUUCGCUGGCGUUGAGCACUGGCUUGGUCAGCUGGUUCGUCCUCCUCUACAAGCUGUGGGUCUAGCUGACCAGCCUUGCGCUUGUUGCUUUGUUAGCCGCGAUUGUCGCUAGCCGGAUUCGUCGUAGCCGGUGGCCAGGAUGGGCUUAUCUAUUGCACUGACCUUGAUCUGCAUGGCAGAGUCGACAGUCGAGUACUUGUCCGCCUUGGCCAUGAGUGCCGCCAAAGAGGUGGUAUCGGAGCACAUGAGCUUGUGCUCGAAGAGGGUGCCAUCUCGGCAACCUUCGAUGAAGUACUGGAUGGCCUGAAUCUCAUGCACUCCUUCACAUCAGUUGUGUAGUUCGUUCCAGCGCAUGACAUAGUCGCGGAGGGGCUUGUCAGGCUUCUGGACACACAUGGCCAGCUCGCGGGGGCGGCUAGGGCGUUUGUAGGUGCCAGUGAAGUUGCAUACGAAAGCUUUCUCGAAGUCAACCCAGGUGUUGACGCUGCCGGCUGGCAAGCUGUUAAGCCAUGUUUGGGCCGAGCCAAUCAGCAUGAGCGGCACGUAGUAGACGGAUACGCGUUUGUUGCCAUUGGCAAUGCCGACUACAGUGGUGUAGUCGAUCAACCAAUCUUCCGGCUUGGCAUAGCCGUUGUACUUGGGAGUGUCGCGGGGAAGGGUGAAGUAGGUGGAAAUGGCUCCACGCGGAUCCGGGGCCGUAGCAUGCCAGACCAAUGGGACCCUCCUCCUCCAGGAGGGCCGACCAUGCCAGUCGGUCAAGGCGGGUGCGAGCGUCGUUCUUGGUGCGGGGGAUACAUGGAUCAAGCCGAGCCGAGAGUUCAGGACGGACCAGAAGGCGCAAGCGUGUGGGCCUUCUCCUUCUGUGCAGGCAGGGGGAUGACGCGGACUGACUGGUCAUACCUCCAACUGGCUCUCAGAGUCGGCUGUAGACCGCUGGGUGCUCACUCCGACGAUGAGAGCGUCGGCCACGACUUCCCUCACCCCUCUGGCCAGAACCACGAGGGGACGAAGAGUGCUGAGCUAACUGACGGUCGCUUGGAACCUGGUAACCCUCGUAGUCGAAUCAAGGAGAUCCAAAAAAGCAUGCUUCGGGUCAAGGCGACCUUGUUGCUCAUUGCUAGCAGCGAGGAGGUCUUGAGCUUGUUUCUCUUGCCGUGCGUGCUCCUCGCCCUCCAUGGUGGCCAUCUCCUCAUGGGCGACCUGGGUGGCCCGCAUGUUGGCUACGAGAGUGUCAUAGACGGGCAGCUUGCCGCCUAGGAUGUCGACAACAACCCGACCGCGACCCCGAACCUCGCCACAUCGGCUCGGUCCAUGGACAACCGGGGUGAAGCCGUAAGCAGAGAUGUACUCAUGUUGCGCGGACUCCAUCCGGCGCUUGGCAACUGCAAGGGCGGAGCCCUCCGCAAACAACUGUUUUCGGGCCUCCUCCAACUCAUCUCUAGCCGAUGCCACAUAGGCAAUUGGCACGAUGGGGUAGCGCAGCCCCUCGAGGAUGGUGCGAAGCGGGUCGGAAGGGCCCGAAUGAGUCGCUCCCGAGAUGGUGUUGGAUCUGGUUACCAUCACCUCCAUGAGGACAGAGGGGACGGUGGCGUCGCACGGGGCGAGAGACCCCGCGAAUGCUGGUGGGUCGCUUCAGUUGAGUACGUCGCUGGGGUACUCAUCCGAUGCAGGCACAUCCUCAAGAUUGAGCUUACCGAAGAGCACGCAUAGUGAGUUCGACGUCGACAUCCCUGCCAAGGCGGCGAGGUCCAUCGUGAAGGCGCAGGUCGUCGAAGGGGGCACAUAGGUGAUCGACAUCAGGAAUGACACGGUCGCAGCGCGGGUUCCUGAUGGGCUCGAUGAUCAACACCGUGAAAUCCUCCGCAAGGGUAGGCUCGACGGGCAUGCUGAACGGUCCGCAUGCGAGGCGUCCGGUGGAGUGGACGGAUGGUCCCGCCCGAAGCGUAACUCCGACCGGUAUCACGUACAACCCCAUGGUGGCGCCAAUUGUUGUUGUUUUCUCACGACAAUAGCCAUGGGUAGGCUAAUUGAGAAAGGUUGGGGCCGAAAGGUCACUGGCGGACUCCGGGAACGGGAUUGGUAACUAGCGAUGCAAGAUGCACGAUGUACCCAGGUUCAGGGUCCUCCAUGGGUGGUAACACCCCUAGUCCUGCCGGAGUGGUUGAUGAACCAGUAGAGUUACAAUGUGCUCCUUGAGCUGCUCCACGGAGAAGGAAGAAGGAGCAGUCGGCUCCCCGUCUACCUCUCUUGUAUGAGUGUGUGUGCACGUAAGCUUGAUCGACCCUCUGUAUGAAGGACGGCCAGGGGGUUUUAUAGAUGAACCCCCCGGCCUACAAUAUGGAUAUAAAGUACAAAAGGGGGACCCGGCUGGCAGCCUCUCCAGCUAGCCAGUGGGUCCAUCACUAAGCAAUCUCGUCGUAUGCGGGACCCUUCGACUAUAGGGUCCCAUCAGGACCUGGGACACGCCUGCUAGCCAAUGGGAUUGGUGCGUGCCCCUCACGCGGAGCACGGGUGGAACUGUGGUCUUCGUCCAGCGGAAUCCAGCACUGGUCAGCGGUACGGUCGCCUCCAUUGUAGCUACGCCGAGCGAGGUAAUGGAGUGGUUCGUGGCAGGCGGGCACUAUACACAGUUGAUAGAUUGCAGUCGGCACCAGUUAGUGGUACGGCCGCCACCACUUUAGCCACACGUAUCCCACUCUAUCGAACUCGAGCUGACCUUCCUUCGUCUUCAAGCAAAGGCCUUCGUCGCAUCAAAGGAGCUGAUACAACAGAUGCUCCCCAGCUGGGUAAUGGUUAGCUAUCCCACCAGGGAGUAGAUUGCGAAACCUUAGCCGGUGCUGGCUACGCAGACGGCCAGGGGGAGCCGACAUGCGAGGAGGCUUUCGCCCCAAUCUAUGCCGAAGCACAUGGAGCAGGCCUGAUGAGCCUACCCCGGGGUUAUCCCCCCGUCACCUCUUCCGUCUAGGAUUCUCAAAACCCAAGAGUAACAAGAUCGACAAGGGAUUAGUGGGGGGAAUCAAAUAUCUCUUGGUGGAAGUGUAGAUUGAGGCCUUCUCCUCCAAACCCUUGAAAAUCAACAAGAACCGUUUGCUAGGGCACAAGGUCGGGCAAGAAUGAGCUUGGAGUAACAAUGGAGAUUUUGGAGGAUAAGAGGUGAGUCUCCUCGGGGAACAAGACCCAUUUAUAUAGAGGAGGAGAAAUCUGACCAUUUUCUUCCCAUAAGUCGUGCACGAGCGGUACUUCAGCUUGCACGGAAUUGUAGGCUGGGCUGCCAAUAGACAUGCGUCAGAGGGAGGGGUACUACCGAUCCAACCACUGAUACUACCGCUACUCAUUGACACACCCCUGACAAGACAAUACGACAGUACCGCUCAGGGCAGUACUUCCGCUUCAAACUUCUGCUCAAGAAUAAUUCCUAAACCGGACUGAAAAACGGGAAACGUAAGUGGAAGUGAGGCCGGAAGUAGGGAGCGGCGGUACCGCCCAAGCGAUAGUACCGAUUUACUCCUAGGAGUACUUCCGCUUACCAAGAAUCAAAAUGAUAGCUCCAAAGUGCCGAGGAGGAAAGGAUGAUAGAAAUGUGUAUGUGAGAGAUUCUCCCAACUUUUCCAAAUGUGGACCCCCUCUAGAUAGUACGGAUUAUCCUAUGACUCAAGUUCACCAACUCUAAAUCAUACGAAGUAAUUCGUCUUCUCGUUUAACAUCUGAGGGGAAGAAUAACCGUCUCGUGCCACCUGAUAACCUAUGAAAGCUCAAAGCACACGAUUAAUCCGCAAAGGUGUUGUCAUCAGCCGGCAAAACUUCUUAGGGAAGAUUAUGCUGUUACAUCUACCUUUAGAAGGGUCGACACUCUGUUCAGUUGGAUGCAUAGCUGCAGCUCUCGAGCAUCCGUGUCGAGUUGUUGCGCUCGUGUUUUUGAACCCAGACAAUCAACCAACACAGAUGGCAUGUAGGUUUUUACGCUCCCGAGCGACCCAAACCUGUGUAAAUACCGCGCGCAAUUUGAUCGACUAGUGCUCUUUGCACACUCGGCGCCCCCGCAGACCCGUAAAGGAACCCCACAGGUCCCAUAGAUCAUCGUGGGUCUCUUCCUCCCUCGAUAUCUUUGCCAUGCUAGGUAGGGGCACUUCAAGUGCACAAAUCUUCACCGACAUUUUUGUGUGCCCUCGUCGACGCACAUGGCAUGCAAGAAGGCCAAGGGUGGCCCGGCGGCCGCUCCGUCGAUGUCCAAGCUGCCCACGCUGGUCGCAACGGGCAUGGAAGGCAGAGGCGGACGCCAUGCGCAUCACACCGGCAAGCGCAGCCACAAUAAUGCAUGAAGGUCCGCGAGCCAUGACCAGGACUCCAUUGUUGUGAUGGCGUUGAACGCACCGGCAGCGGCCGGGGCGACGCCACAACCAUGGCAACGGCGACAAUGGAGACGGCUGUAGUCGAACAUUUUCCGCACCCUGCAAAAAACAACUGCGACCCACGCACGCGGGAUGACGACCCGGGGUAGCGCGUGGAUAAUACCCUUGUGCAAGGAACACAAGGCCAAUAUUGAUGGGAUGUUAUUUACUUUUGUGUUGAGCCUGUUAAAAUUGCAAAACCUGUUAGAGAUGAACAUGAUGUGUUAGACAAGAAUAAACUAGUGGUUGGCAUGCCUGUUGUUUCUAUUAAAAUUGGAGAUAAUUGCUAUUAUGGUUUGUGUGAUAUGAGUGCAAGUGUGACUGCUAUUCCUUUUACUUUAUAUCUAGAAAUUAUGAAUGAUAUAGCACCCUUUGAGGUUGAAGACGUUGAUGUUACUAUUAAACUUGGCAAAGAGAUAUAUUAUUUUACCACUUGGGAUUGUUCGAGAUGUUGAAGUCUUGUGUGGACAAGUCAACUUUCCUACUCAUUUGUUAGUACUUGGUUCACUACAAGAUAAUUUUGUCCCAUUAUAUUUGGUAGACCUUUCUUGAAUACCAUUAAUGCUGAAAUUGAUUGUGUGAAAGAAAAUGUUAGAGUAAGUUUCAGUGAUGCAUCUCCUGAGUUUAAUUUCUUUAAGUUUCAUAGACAACCACAUGAGAAAGAACUAUCUAGUAAAUAUGAAAUUAUUGGUCUUGAUUCUUUUUUCAUGCCUCCUAUUGGUCCGUUAGAACAAUAUUUGCUAGACCAUGAAAAUGAUAUGAAAAUCGAUGGAAGAAGUGAAAUUUAUGAGAUAUUCUUAAAACAUGCACCUAUCCCUUAACAUAAUUUGCCGGUAGUCAUUCUAGGAGACCCCCAAGGGAGAUCCCAUGUAAUAAUUAAAGAAACUACAUGAUACAAUAAAAUAUGCUUAUCUUGACGAAAACAAGAUAUAUCCUGUUAUUAUUAGUGGUAACAUUUCAGAGCAUGAAGAAAAGAGAUUACUCAAAACUCUCAAGAAGUACGGAGCUUCUAUUGGAUAUACUUUCGAUGAUUUUCAGGGAAUUAGCACCACCUUAUGUCUAUAUGAUUAAUAUGGAACCAUAUGCUUAACCCAUCGUUGGCCAUCAACACCGUAUGUAUCUUCAAAUGAAAGAAGUGGUAAGGAUCGGAAUAUUAAAGCUUCUGGAGGCAGGUAUAAUUUAUCCCAUAGCUGAUAGUAGAUGGGUAAGUCUUGUUCAUUGUGUUCCUAAGAAAGGAUGUAUAACCGUUGUUCCGUAUGAUAAAAAUGAACUUAUCCCACAAAGAAUUAUAUAUGUGUACAUGAUGGAAAUUGAUUUCAGAAAUUAAACAAAGCUACUAGAAAUUAUCAUUACCACUGUCCUUUUAUUGAUAAAAUGUUAGAAAUAUUAUCUAAGCACACACACUUUUGCUUCCUUGAUGGAUAUUCUGGUUUUUCUCAAAUAGUUAUGUCAAAUGAAGAUCAAGAGAAAACUACUUUUACCUGUCCUUUUCGAAUAUGCUUAUAGGUAUAUGCCUUUUCGUUUAUGUAAUGCACCCGCUACUUUUCAAAGAUGUAUGACUGCUAUAUUCUCUGACUUCCGUGAAAAGAUUGUUGAGUUAUUCAUCGAUGAUUUUUCUGUUUUCGGGACUUCUUUUGAUGAUUGCUCAAGGAACCUUGUCCGAGUUUUUCAGAGAUACGAAGAAACUAAUCUUCCCGUGAAUCAAGAGAAGUGCCAAUUUAUGGUAAAUGAAGUCAUAGUACUUGGUCAUAAACUUUCAGAAGAAGGUAUAGAGGUAGAUAAAGCUAAAGUUGAUGCAACUAAGAACAUGCCAUGUCCUAAAGAUAUAAAAGGUAUAGGAAGUUUCCUUGGCUAUGUUGGUUUCUAUAGAAUAUUCAUUAAAGAAUUCUCAAAGAUUUCUAGGCCACUAACUAAUCACCUUCAAAAGUAUGUUCCAUUUGUUUUUUAUGAUGGUUGUGUAGAAGCCUUCGAAAUACUUAAAGAGGCUUUAAUUUCUGCACCUAUUGUUCAACCACCUAAUUGGAACUUACCAUUUGGAAUUAUGUGUGAUGCUAGUGAUUAUCCUAUUGAUGUUGUUCUAGGGAAAAUGGUAGACAGGAAAUUGAAUGUUAUUCACUAUGAUAGUAAGACUCUAGACAAUGCUCAAAUAGAUUGUCCUACUAGUGAGAAAGAAUGUUUAGCUGUUGUGUUUCAAUGUGAUAAGUUUAGACCUUAUAUUGUUGAUUCUAAAGUUACUAUUCACACUGAUCAUGCUGCUAUUAAAUACCUAAUGGAAAAGAAAGAUGCUAAGCAUAGACUAGUUAGGUGAGUUCUUUUACUUUAAGAAUUUGACUUGUGUAUCAUUGAUAAAAAGGGAGUUCAAAAUCAUGUAGUAGAUAAUUUGUCUAGGAUGGAAAAUGUUCUUGAUGACCCAUUGCCUAUUGACGAUAGUUUUCCUGAUGACCAAUUAGUUGUUAUAAAUGCUUCUUUAAUACUCCUUGGUAUGGAGAUUAUGCUAAUUACAUUGUUGCUAAAUAUAUACCAUCUAGUUUCACAUACCAACAAAAGAGAAAGUUCUUCUUUGAUUUAAGACAACACCUUUUGGAAUGACCCACAUCUAUAUAAAGAAGGAGUAGAUGGUGUUAUUCGACGGUGUGUACUGUACGUCCAUUUUGCAUCAUGUUUUCAUGUUGUUACUUAUCGCUUCUUUGGCUGUUAUUUCACUUCACGGUACUAUUCUUAUGCCUUUUCUCUCUUAUUUUGCAAGGUUUACAUGAAGAGGGAGAAUACCGGCAACUGGAAUUCUGGCCUGAAAGUGGAGCAAAGUUGAGAUACCUAUUCUACACAACUCCAAACGCCGUGAAAAUUAACGGAGAUUUUUUUCCCAAAUUAUCAAAAAUACUAAGCCGAAGAAGUGCCAGAGGGGAACCAGGGGGUGCCCACAAGCCUGCAUGGCGCGGCCACUCCCAGGCCGCGCCAUGGGGGCUUGUGGGCAGCCCACUGGCCCACUACCCCCCUCUUUUGCUAUAUGGAUGGUUUUGUCCAGGAAAAAAUUAGGAGGGAGCUUUUUCGUGGUUUCUCCGCCGCCACGAGGCGGAACUUGAGCAGAACCAAUCUAGAGCUCCGGCAGGACGAUCCUGCCGGGGAAACUUCACUCUCGGAGGGGGAAAUCGUCGCCAUCGUCAUCACCAACACUCCUCUCAUCGCAGGGGACUCAUCUCCAUCAACAUCUUCAUCAUCACCAUCUCAUCUCCAAACCCUAGUUCAUCACUUGUAACCAAUCUCCGUCUCGCGACUCCGAUUGGUACUUGUAAGGUUGCUAGUAGUAUUGAUUACUCUUUGUAGUUGAUGCUAGUUGGAUUAUUUCGUGGAAGUGAUUAUGUUCAGAUCCUUGAUGCUACUCAUUACCUCUCUGAUCAUGAUUAUGAUUAUGCUUUGUGAGUAGUUACUUUUGUUCCUGAGGACAUGGGAUAAGUCAUGCUAAUAGUAGUCAUGUGAAUUUGGUAUUCGUUUGGUAUUUUGAUAUGUUGUAUGUUGUUUUUCCUGUAGUGGUGUUAUGUGAACGUCGACUACAUAAUACUUUACAAUUAUUUGGGCCUAGAGGAAGGCAUUGGGAAGUAGUAAGUAGAUGAUGGGUUGCUAGAGUGACAGAAGCUUAAACCCUAGUUUAUGUGUUGCUUCGCAAGGGGCUGAUUUGGAUCCACUAGUUUAAUGCUAUGGUUAGACUUUGUCUUAAUUCUUCUUUCAUAGUUGCGGUUGCUUGUGAGAGGGGUUAAUCAUAAGCGGGAUGCUUGUACAAGUAAGGGAAGUACCCAAGCGUCGGUCCACCCACAUAUCAAACUAUCAAAGUAACGAACGCGAAUCAUAUGAACAUGAUGAAACUAGCAUGACAGAAAUUCCCGUGUGUCCUCGGGGGCGUUUUUCCUCCUAUAAGACUUUGUCCAGGCUUGUCCCUUGCUACAAAAGGGAUUGGGCCACUUUGCUGCAUCGUUUCUACUUUUGUUACUUGUUGCUUGCUACGAAUCAUCUCACCACACAAUCACUUGUUACCGACAAUUUCAGUGCUUGCAGAUAUUUCCUUGCUGAAAACCACUUGUCAGAUCCUUCUAUUCCUUGUUGGGUUCGACACUCUUACUUAUUGAAAGGACUACGAUUGAUCCCCUAUACUUGUGGGUCAUCAAGACUCUUUUCUGGCGCCGUUGCGGGGGAGUGAAGCGCCUUCGGUAAGUGGAACUUGGUAAGGACACAUUCAUAUAGUGUGCCAAAAUUUCUUGUCACUUGUCACUAUGGAUACUAAUCCUUUGAGGGGCUUGUUCGGGGUAUCUUCACCUUGAACGGAAGCACAAAUAGUUGCUCCUCAACCUGCUGCACCUACUGAAUUUUUUUGCUUUGAGUUUCCUUCGGGUAUGCUUGAGAAACUGCUGGCUAAUCCUUUUACAGGAGAUGGAACAUCACAUCCAGACUUGCAUCUAAUCUAUGUAGAUGAAGUUUGUGGUUUAUUUAAGCUUGCAGGUGUGCUCGAGGAUGAGGUCAAGAAGAAGGUCUUUCCUUUAUGUUUGAAGGAUAAGGCGUUGACAUGGUAUAGGCUAUGUGAUGAUACUGGAUCAUGGGACUACAAUCGAGAAAGCAUCGCUCAAGCUUGGGGGAGGCUUAAAUCAAUGCUAUAUUCAUGCCCCAAUCAUGAGCUCUUGAGAGAAAUUAUCAUUCAGAACUUCUAUGCUCGGCUUUCUCAUGAUGAUCGCACCAUGCUUGACACUUCUUGUACCGAUUCUUUUAUGAAGAGAGAUAUUGACUUCAAAUGGAAUUUAUUGGAGAGAAUUAAACGCAACUCUGAAGAUUGGGAGCUUGAAGAAGGUAAGGAGUCAGGUAUGAAUUUCACGUUUGAUUGCGUUAAAUCCUUUGUUGAGACAAAUACCUUUAGUGAGUUUAGCGCUAAGUAUGGACUUGACUCUGAGAUAGUAGCUUCAUUGUGUGAAUCCUUUGCUGCUCAUAUUGAUCUCCCCAAAGAGAAGUGGUUUAAAUUUCAUCGUCCUUUAGAAGUCAAUGUAGUUAAACCCACUCCAGUUGAAGAGAAAGUCAUUGCAUAUAAUGAUCCUGUGGUUCCCAGUGCUUACAUUGAGAAACCACCUUUCCCUGUUAGGAUAAAGGAUCAUUCUAAAGCUUCAACUGUGAUACGUAGAGGCUAUAUUAGAACACCUACACCCCCUGAGCAAAUUAGAGUUGAACCUAGCAUUGCUAUUAUCAAAGAUCUUCUAUCUGAGGAAGUUGAGGGACAUAAUAUUCACUUUAGUGAAGAUGCUGCUAGAAUUGCUAGACCUCACAUUAGAGACAAACAUAGGCCUGUUGUUGGCAUGCCUGUGGUUUGUGUUAAGAUAGGAGAUCAUUGUUAUCAUGGCUUAUGUGACGUGGGUACUAGUGUUAGUGCAAUACCUCAAUCCUUAUAUGAUGAAAUCAAAGAUGAGAUUGCACCUGUUGAGAUAGAACCUAUUGAUGUCACUAUUCAGCUUGUCAAUAGAGAUACUAUCUGCCGUGUGGGAAUUGUUAGGGAUGUUGAAGUCUUGUGUGGUAAAACGAAGUAUCCUGCUGAUUUCCUCGUUCUUGUUACUGCACAAGAUAGCUUUUGUCCCAUCAUAUUUGGCAGACCCUUCCUCAAUACCGUCAAUGCUCAUAUUGACUGUGAGAAGCAAACUGUCACUGUUGGCUUUGAAGGUGUGUCACAUGAGUUCAAUUUCUCUAAGUUUGGUAGACAACCUCAUGAAAAGGAGUUGCCUAGUAGGGAUGAAACUAUUGCCUUAGCCUCUAUUGCCGUGUCUCCUACUGAUCCCUUAGAGCAAUACUUGCUUGAGCAUGAAAAUGAUAUGCGUAUGGAUGAAAGGGAUGAGAUAGAUAGAGUUGUCUUAGAACAAUAUCCUAUCCUUAAGAAUAACUUGCCUGUUGAACUGCUUAGGGAUCCACCCCCACCAAAGGGUGAUCAUGUGUUAGAGUUUAAACAGUUGCCUGAUACUCUUAAGUAUGCCUAUCUUGAUGAAAAGGAGAUAUAUCCUGUUAUUAUUAGUGCUAGCCUUUCAGAGCAUGAAGAAAAGAAGUUACUAAAAACUCUGAGGAAGCACCGUGCUGCUAUUGGAUAUACUCUUGGUGAUCUUAAGGGCAUUAGUCCUACCCUAUGCCAGCACAAGAUCAAAACUGAUCCUGAAUUCAAACCAGUUGUUGAUCAUGAAAGGAGAUUGAAUCCUAAGAUGAAAGAAGUACUAAGAAAAGAAAUACUAAAGCGCCUGGAAGCGGGUAUUAUCUAUCAUGUUGCUCAUAGCAAUUGGUUGAGUCCGGUGCAUUGCGUCCCUAAAAAGGGAGGCAUUACCGUUGUCCCUAAUGAUAAGGAUGAAUUGAUCCCAUAGAGGAUUAUUACUGGCUAUAGGAUGGUGAUUGAUUUUAGGAAGUUGAAUAAAGCCACUAGGAAAGAUCAUUACCCUUUGCCUUUUAUCGACAAAAUGCUAGGAAGGCUGUCCAAACACACACACUUCUGCUUUCUAGACUGUUAUUCUGGUUUCUCCCAAGUACCAGUUGCACAAUCUGAUCAGAAGAAAACCACUUUCACCUGCCCUUUCGGUACCUUUGCUUAUAGACGUAUGCCUUUUGGCUUAUGUAAUGCACCUGCCACCUUUCAAAGAUGUAUGAUGGCUAUAUUCUCUGACUUUUGCGAAAAGAUUGUUGAGGUUUUCAUGGAUGACUUCUCUGUUUACGGGUCUUCCUUUGAUGAUUGCCUCAGCAACCUUGAUCGAGUCUUGCAAAGAUGUAAAGACACCAAUCUUGUCUUGAAUUGGGAGAAGUGCCACUUUAUGGUUAAUGAAGGCAUCGUCUUAGGACAUCAAAUUUCUGAAAGAGGUAUUGAAGUCGAUAAGGCUAAGGUUGAUGCAAUCGAGAAAAUGCCAUACCCCACAGAUAUCAAAGGGAUAAGAAGUUUCCUUGGUCAUGCUGGUUUCUAUAGAAGGUUCAUCAAAGACUUCUCUAAGAUUUCUAGGCCUAUUACCAAUCUCUUGCAAAAGGAUAUUCCUUUUGUUUUUGACGAUGAUUGUGAGGAAGCCUUCGAAAUACUUAAGAGGGCUUUGAUAACUGCACCUAUUGUUCAACCACCUGAUUGGAACUUACCUUUUGAGAUCAUGCGUGACGCUAGUGAUUAUGUUGUUGGUUCUUUUCUAGGGCAAAGAGUUGAUAAGAAGUUGAAUGUUAUUCACUACGCUAGUAAAACUCUAGAUAGUGCCCAGAGAAACUAUGCCACUACGGAGAAGGAAUUUUUAGCAGUCGUGUUUGCAUGUGAAAACUUUAGGUCUUAAUAGUUGAUUCCAAAGUCACUAUUCACAUUGAUCACGCUGCUAUUAAGUACCUCAUGGAGAAGAAGGAUGCUAAACCUAGACUUAUCAGAUGGGUUCUCUUUCUACAAGAAUUUGAUUUGCACGUUGUCGACAGAAAGGGUGUUGAUAACCAAGUAGCAGAUAACUUGUCUAGGUUGGAGAACGUUCUUGAUGACCCACAACCUAUUGAUGAUAGCUUUCGCGAUGAGAAAUUGAAUGUCAUCAAUGCUUCACGCAGUGCACCGUGGUAUGCUGAUUAUGCAAACUAUAUCGUUGCCAAAUACAUACCACCUAGUUUCACGUACCAGCAAAAGAAGAAAUUCUUCUUUGAUUUGAGACAUUACUUCUGGGAUGAUCCUCACCUUUAUAAGGAAGUUGUAGAUGGUGUUAUUAGACGUUGUGUACCUGAACAUGAACAGGGACAAAUCCUACAAAAGUGUCACUCCGAGGCCUACGGAGGACACCAUGCGGGAGAUAGAACUGCACACAAGGUAUUGCAAUCAGGUUUCUAUUUGCUCACUUUCUUCAAGGAUACACGUAAGUUUGUCUUGUCUUGUGACGAAUGUCAAAGAAUAGGUAAUAUUAGAAAAUGUCAGGAAAUGCCUAUGAAUUAUUCACUUGUCAUUGAACCAUUUGACGUCCGGGGCUUUGAUUAUAUGGGACCUUUUCCAAAAUCCAACGGGUAUACGCAUAUCUGAGUUGUUGUUGAUUAUGUCACUAAGUGGGUAGAAGCUAUCCCCACUAGUAGUGCUGGUCACAAAACCUCUAUCAAGAUGCUGAAAGAAGUUAUCUUCCCUAGAUUUGAAGUCCCUAGAUAUCUAAUGACCGACGGUGGUUCACACUUCAUUCAUGGUGCUUUCCGCAAGACGCUUGCUAAGUACGAUGUCAACCAUAGAAUUGCGUCUCCCUAUCACCCUCAGUCCAGUGGUCAAGUAGAGCUAAGUAAUAGAGAGAUUAAACUGAUUCUGCAAAAGACUGUCAACAGGUCUAGAAAGAAUUGGUCUAAGAAGCUCGAUGAUGCACUGUGGGCUUAUAGAACUGCCUAUAAGAAUCCCAUGGGCAUCUUCAUACAAAAUGGUGUACGGUAAAGCAUGUCAUUUACCUCUUGAGCUCGAGCAUAAAGAUUAUUGGGCAAUCAAAGAGCUCAACUUUGAUUUCAAACUUGCCGGUGAGAAGAGGUUAUUUGACAUUAGCUCGCUUGAUGAGUGGAGAACUCAAGCAUAUGAGAAUGCCAAGCUUUUCAAAGAGGCGGUUAAGAGGUGGCAUGAUAAUAGGAUACAAAAGCGUGAGUUCCAUGUAGGUGAUUAUGUCUUGCUAUAUAACUCUCAGUUAAGAUUCUUUGAAGGCAAACUUCUCUCUAAAUGGGAAGGUCCCUAUGUUGUUGAGGAAGUAUAUCGUUCCGGUGCUAUCAAGAUCAACAACGCGGAAGGUAAUUGUCCGAGAGUGGUAAAUGGGCAGAGAAUCAAGCAUUAUAUCUCAGGUACUCCCAUAAAUGUUGAAAGCAAUAUCAUCAAUACUAUAACUCCGGAAGAAUAGCUAAGGGAUAUUUCUCAGCCUGUUUCAGACUCCGAAAACGAAGAGGUAUGUGAUUCGGUAAGAAAACAGAGUCCAAAACUUUUCUAGUAGGAAAUUUUCUCCGUUUUGGAAUCUUUGAAAAAAUAUAAAAAUUGGAAGUAGUCCGGAAAGUGCGCGAGGAGGCGACAAGCCUGCACGGCGCGGGCCCACCCCCUGGCCGCGCCGUGAGGGCUUGUGGCCUCCUCGUGCGCCUCCCGGACUCCGUUUUUGUGCAGGGUACUCCUUCUGUUCUGGCAAAAAUCAUUAUAUAUACUUACGUUUGGUCUGACCCCUGCAUCACACAGAUUUCCUCUGUUUUUCGUUUCGAGCUUGUUUGUGUUGCAGAUCUAGAUUGCCAUGACUUCCCCAAAAGCUCCGAAGGACAAGAUUUUCGAGAAGGUCAUCAAUCCCUACCUCACGGGAGUGCUGCAACACCCUCAAUCUAUCGAGAUGCGUGAGGGGAUGUUGCAUAUCCGUAAUGUUGAGGGGCCUAAGAAGACCGGAAGCGUGGAGACGAGGCUCGAAGCAAUGGAGCAACAAGCCUUCAAGUGCCAAGGGAUGGUGGAGAGUGGACUCAACGCCAACCACAUGAUGAUCACAGAGUUCACCAACAAGCACAGGAUUAAUGCCAAUGACAUUGGGAAGCACCUCUCCGGGCUCUAUGACAGGGUUGAUCAACCCCAGGGCCAGAUCUAUGACCUGUACAACCAAAACUGUCAGUAUGAGUAUAGAUUUAAAUCAAUAAGGUUGGCUGCAGAUUUGAGGAUUCCGGAGACUCGUUCAUCUUUCCAUGAUGGAGCACCUAUGCCUUGGAAGACGGAGGAUCAAACUCAUGUUGCAACAACUCCACCAUCACCACCAAAGGAAGACAACUGAGCAUUGGUAUGGCAAUCCCCUUGGCUUGUGCCAAGCUUGGGGGAGUUGCCCCAGUAUCGUAUCACCAUCACAUCUUUUGCCUUUACCUUUGUUUUUAGUUUUCCUUUUCAGUUUUCUUUUGAUCUAGUAGUUUAAAAGUCUUAGUGUUUUACUCUUUAGUUUUGCUUUGUGUCACCCCCGAUGUAUUCUUGCUCGUGAGCCAUAUAAUAAAAAGUUUCUUAGUUGAAGGGCUUUGCCUCUUGCCAUGAUCAAAAGAGUGAGAAUAGAACAAAAGCAUGAAAGAUCAUGUAAUUAUCUUAUGGGAAGUGAUGGAUUCACAUAUAAAAAGAAUGAGGAUUGAAACUUGUUGAGGGUAGGCAAACGUAGACCAUGGUCAUGGUUGCAAUUAUUAGGAAGUGAUAAAGAAGGAGAGGUUCACAUAUAAAUAUAUCAUCUCUGACACCAUCUAUGAUUGUGAACACUCACCAAACUAUUGCAUGCCUAGAAGUAGAUGUUGGACAAGGAAGACAACAUAAUGAAUUGUGUUUGCUUGGCUCUAAACAAUGUUAUAUGAUUAGAGAGCCCUUAGCAUGCGACGAUUGCUUCCACCUCAUAUUAGCCAAAACCUCCCACACCAAGUAGAGAUACUACUUGUGCAUCCAUAAACCUUCAAACCAGUUUUUCCAUGAGAGUCCACCAUACCUACCUAUGGAUUGAAUAAGAUCCCUCAAGUAAGUUGUCAUCGGUGCAAGCAACAAAAAUUGCUCUCUAAUAUGUAUGAUCUAUUGGUGUGUGGAAAAUAAGCUUUGUACAAACCUGUGAUGAGGAAGACAUAAAAGCGACAGACUGCAUAAUAAAGUUCUUUAUCACAGGAGGCAAUAUAAAGUGACGUUCCUCCGCACUAAGAGGACACGCAUCCAAACCUCAAAAGCACAUGACAACCUCUGCUUGCCUGUGCGAAGGGCCUAUCUUGUACCUUUACUUUUUGUCCCUGAAAGAGUCAUGAUGAUCUUCACCAAUUCCUUAUUUUGCCUUUGUCUUGGCUACCGUCACAUGCUUGGAGGUAGGCAUUCAUGAAUUAUUAUUGUUGGAGGUAGGCCUUUGUCCUAAUGGAAAGAUCUAUAUUCAUAUGUCAACUUGGAGGUAGGCAUUCAUGAAUUAUUAUUGUUGACGUUACCCUUGAGGUAAGCAGUUGGGAGGAAAAACUGUAAAGCCCCUAUCUUUCUCUGUGUCUAGCUGAAACUUUGAUCUCAUGAGUACCACGUGAGUUGUAGCAAUUGUAGAGAACGAAAGAAUGAUUGAGUAUGUGGAUUUACUUUACAAUCUCUUAUUUGACUCUUUGUGAUGUUGUGAUAAGUUGUAAUUGCUUCAAUGACUAAAGGCUAACGGUUGUUACUUCUCGGUAUGGUUCUUGAUCCGUGCUUUACUUUGUGAAGGAAUUGUCACUUUAGCAUGAGAGAUUAUAUGUUGGUAUUGCUGUUCUGAUCUAGAUCAUGAUGCAUGCAUGUUCGUAUCUUGUUUUCUUGACACCUCUCUCCCUAAACAUGUGGACAUAUUUAUUGAGCUCGGCUUUCGCUUGAGGACAAGCCAGGUCUAAGCUUGGGGGAGUCGAUACAUCCAUUUUGCAUCAUGUUUUCAUGUUGUUAUUUAUCGCUUCUUUGGCUGUUAUUUCACUUCACGGUACUAUUCUUAUGCCUUUUCUCUCUUAUUUUGCAAGGUUUACAUGAAGAGGGAGAAUACCGGCAACUGGAGUUCUGGCCUGAAAGUGGAGCAAAGUUGAGAUACCUAUUCUGCGCAACUCCAAACGCCGUGAAAAUCAACGAAGAUUUUUUCCCAAUUUAUCAAAAAUACUGGGCCGAAGAAGUGCCAGAGGGGCACCAGGGGGUGCCCACAAGCGUGCAUGGCGCGGCCACCCCCCCCCCCAGGCCACGCCAUGGGGGCUUGUGGGCAGCCCACUAGCCCACUGCCCCCUCUUUUGCUAUAUGGAGGGUUUUGUCGAGGAAAAAAUCAGGAGGGAGCUUUUUCGUGGUUUCGCCGCCGCCACGAGUCGGAACUUGAGCAGAACCAAUCUAGAGCUCCGGCAGGACGAUCCUGCCGGGGAAACUUCACUCCCGAAGGGGGAAAUCGUCGCCAUCGUCAUCACCAACACUCCUCUCAUCGGAGGGGACUCAUAUCCAUCAACAUCUUCAUCCACACCAUCUCAUCUCCAAACCCUAGUUCAUCACUUGUAACCAAUCUCCGUCUCGCGACCCCGACUGGUACUUGUAAGGUUGCUAGUAGUGUUGAUUACUCUUUGUAGUUGAUGCUAGUUGGAUUAUUUGGUCGAAGAGAUUAUGUUCAGAUCCUUGAUGCUACUCAUUACCUCCCUGAUCAUGAUUAUGAUUAUGCUUUGUGAGUAGUUACUUUUGUUCCUGAGGACAUUGGAUAAGUCAUGCUAAUAGUAGUCAUGUGAAUUUGGUAUUCGUUCGGUAUUUUGAUAUGUUGUAUGUUGUUUUUCCUCUAGUGAUUAUAUGUGAACGUCGACUACAUAACACUUUACCAUUAUUUGGGCCUAGAGGAAGGCAUUGGGAAGUAGUAUGUAGAUGAUGGAUUGCUAGAGUGACAGAAGCUUAAACCCGGAGUGACAAUAGCCGGAACCACUCCCGGAGAUGACCAUAGUAUGAGGAGUUCAUGUAUUCACUAAGUGCUAAUGAUUUGUUCCGGUUCUCUAUUAAAAGGAGACCCUUAAUAUCCCUUAGUUUCCAUUAGGACCCCGCUGCCAUGGGAGGGAUGGACAAUAGAUGGCAUGCAAGUUCUUUUCCAUAAGCACAUAUGACUAUAUACGGAAUGCAUGCCUACAUUACAUUGACGAACUGGAGCUAGUUACAUAUCUCCCCAUGUUAUCACUAUUACAUGAUGAAUGUCAUCCGACAUAAUUAUCCAUCACCGACACAAUGCCUACGAGCUUUUCCUACUGGUCCUUGCUACGUUACUGUUACCGCUACUGCUGUCACUGUUGCUACUGUUACCGCUACUACUGGCACUACUGUUACUGUUACCGAUGCUACCGUUACUAUCACACUACUUUUCUACUGAAACUUUGUUGCAGAUACUAAGUCUUUCAGGUGUGGUUCAAUUGACAACUCAACUGCUAAUACUCGAGAAUAUUCUUUGGCUUCCCCUUGUGUCGAAUCAACAAAUUUGGGUUGAAUACUUUACCCUCAAAAACUAUUGCGACCCCCUAUACUUGUGGGUUAUCAGUCAUCAACCCUUACUUGUUAGAGGUGAUGAAGCACCCUCAAGCAAUUCAGAUACGUGAGGGGGUGCUCCACAUCCAGGAUGUUCAUGGGCCCAAGAAGAGGGGAACCAUGGAGGCCAGGCUUGAGGCGGUGGAGGAGGAGAUCUUUAGGUGUCAAGGCAUGGUGGAGCGUGGACUCAGUGCCAAUUACUCCAUGAUCACAUAAUUCACCCAUGAUCAAAAGGUGGAUGGACGGUCCUUGAAGGAUAGCAUAUUCUCCCUCAACGAGCAAAUCAAUUUUUUGCACUAACAAAUCUUCGAUCUUCAAAACCAAAUAUUUGAGUACGAAGCAAGAUUUAAAUGUAUGGGUUUAUGUGCCAAUUGCAGUACUCUGGAGACUCAUGCUUCCUCUUAUGACAGUGAGCCACUUCCAUGGAAAUCGGGGGACAUGUUUGCUUCUACCUCAUCAUCUACACCACCACCUUCAUCUUCCUCACCAAACAAGGAGACUUGAGCACACGGGUAUGGGCACUCCCCUUGGAUUGUGCCAAGUCUGGGUGAGGUGCCCCAUUAUCGUAUCACCAUCACUCUUAGUAUCUUUAUCCAUCUUAGUUCGAUCUUUAGUUAUUUUGUGAUUUAGUGAAAUAAAAGUUUAGUUCGAUCCAUCUUUUUAAGUGUUGGUUUCGUGAUCUAUCUAUCUAUGUAAUUGAGUGAGGCUUAUAUAAUAAAGUUUAGUUUGAGUCUUUGCUUCUUUACGUUCUUGUUGCAAUGAAAAUAAAGGAAAAUAAUGAACAAAAUCAUAUGCUAAUAUUAUAGUAAGUAGUGACACCACAUAAGAAGAAGUAUAAGCGGUAAAAUUUGUUGAAGGUUGACAAACACAUCACUAGUCUCUGAUGCAACACAUGAAAGAAUUAAUAAGGGAAGAGAAGAUUUACAUGCAAAAACACUAUCCUUGACAUGUUUUAUGAUUGUGAGACCCCAUUAGUUAUAGUAUGCCAAAACUGUUGGUGUUGCACAAGGAAGAGAAUGUAAUGAUUUAUGCUUGUUCACAUUCACGUGGAAGUUAUAUUGUUAUAGAUCCUCUAACAUGUGGCGCUUUCCCAAUAUCUUUGCUAGCCAAAACUCCGCAUUAAGUAGAGAUACUACUUAUGCAUCCAAAACCUUAAACCCAAAUCCAUGUUUUAAGAGUGCACCAUACCUACAUAUGGAUUGAGUAAGAUUCUUCAAGUAAGUUGUCAUCGGUGCACAAGGCAAUAAAAAUUGCUUCUAAACAUGUUCGAACAUUUAGUGUAAGGGAAGUUAAGAGUUGUAUGAACUUGUGAUGGCGAUAAUAAAAGCGAUAAACAACAUAAUAAAGGUUGCUAUCAUAAGGGGCAAUAUAACAUAACAUUCCUUUGUACUAAGGGAUUUGUCAUACAACCAAAAAGCACAUGACAACCUAUGCUUCCCUCUACGAAGGGCAAAUCUUUUACUUUUACAUAUUUACUUUUAUUCAAGAAUCAAAGUAUUCUUCUCUACUCAUUUUUAUUUGCUCUUUUGCAAGCAUCAUGUGGUGGGGAAAGAUCUAGGCAUAUAUAUCCAGUUGAAUGUGGGUGGUCAUAAAUUAUUAUUGUUGACAUCACCCUUGAGGUGAAUACGUUCGGAGACGACACUUUAAGCCCCUAUAUUUCUAUGUGUCUGAUUGAAAGCUUUUGCUCAUAUGUAUGUGGUGGGUGUUAGCAAUUAUACAAGAGUAAAUGAUGGUUGAGUUUGUAGACUUGCUUACAAGCUCCGAUAUGUGACCCUUCCUGAAAAUGUGAUGAAUUGUGUUGAAAAGUUGACUGAAAACAUACUUUCUUAGUUUUCCGUAGGGUUUAUGCUUCAUACUUCGAUGUUGUGAUGAAUUGUUACUUGUUUAUGAGAAGUUUUUAUGAUGAAAAUUAUGUGAUAAAGUAUAUGAUGAAGUUUAUUUUCGGUUAUAAUAAUGAGAAUAAUGCUACUGUGUUUGUAUUUUGUUUUUAUUGACACCUCUCUCUCAAAGCAUGUGGUCAUGAUUUUGGUUAUCGGCUUUUGCUUGAGGACAAGCGAGGUCUAAUCUUAGGGGAAUUGGUACGUCCAUUUUUCAUCAUGAUUUUCUACUUUUAUUUAUAGUGUUUGUAUGCAUUAUACCACUUUAUGGAGAAAUUCUAAUGCCUUUUAUCUCAUAAUAUGCAAGGUUUACACCAUGAGGGAGAACGCAAGCAGAUGGAAUUCUGGACCUGAAAAAACUACAUGAGAAAUACCUAUUCUGCACAUAUCCAAAUGGGCAAAAUAUUCAGAGGGAUAUUUUACAGAAUAAAUAAAAAAUACUUGAAGAAAGAAGUACCAGAGGGGGGCUGCUAGGUGGCCACUCGGCACUAGGGUGCGCCACCCCCCCCCCCCCCGGCAUGCCCUGGUGGGUAGUGGUCCACCUGACCAUCUUCUGGUAUAUAUUCACGUUUGACCUAGAAAAAAAUAAGGAGCGGACUUUCGGGAGGGAGUGCCACCGUCUUGAGGCGGAACUUGGGCUGGAGCACUUUUCCCCUCCGGCGGAGCGAUUACGUCGGGAAACUUCCCUCCCAAAGGGUGAAAUCGAGGGCACCGUCAUCACCAACAACCCUCUCACCUUGGGGAGUCCAAUCUUCAUCAACAUAUUCAACAACACCAUCUCCUCUCAAAACCUAGUUCAUCUCUUCUGUUCAAUCUUGUACCGGAACCUCAGAUUGGUACGUGGGGAUUACUAGUAGUGUUGAUUACAUCUUGUUGUUAAUGCUUUGUAGUUUAUUUGGUGGAAUAUCAUAUGUUCAGACCCAAUAUUCUAUUUAAUACCCCUCUAAUCAUGAGCAUGUUCAUCACUUGUGAGUGGUUACUUUUGUUCUUGAGGCCACAGGAGAAGUCAUCUUGCAAGUAGUCAUGUGAAGUUGAUAUUCGUUCAAUAUUUUGAUGGUAUGAAUGUUGUGAUUCCCUUCAUGGAAUUAUGUGAACAUCGACUACAUAAUACUUUACCAUCUUUGGGCCUAAAGGAAUGCAUUGUGGAGUAGUUAUUUGAUGAUGGGUUGCGGAGUGACAGAAACUUAAAUCCAAGUUUAUGCGCUACUCCGUAAGGGGCUGAUUUGGAUCUGUAUGUUUAAUCAUAUGGUUAGAAUAUAUUCUUAAUACUUUUCUCAUAGUUGCAAAUGCUUGCGGGCGGGUUAAUCAUAAGUAGGGAGCUUGUUCAAGUAAGAAUAGAACCCAAGCACCGUUUCGCCCACAUAUCAAAUUAUCAAAGUACCAAACGCGAAUUAAACCGACAUGACGAAAGUCACUAUAUGAAAUUCCCGUGUGCCCUCAAGAAUGCUUUGCCUAUUAUAAGAAACUAUUCCAGUUUGUCCUUUGCCAAAAAAGGAUUGGCUACCUUUCUGCACUUAUCAUUACUAUUGCUACUCGUUGCUUGUUACAAUUAUCUUCCUAUCAAGCAACUUGUUACCUCUAUUUCAAUGCUUGCGAAAUUACCUUGUUGAAAACCGCUUGUCAUUUCCUUCUUUUCCUUGUUGGGUUUGACACAAUUACUUAUCUAAACGACUACGACCGAUCUUCUAUACUUGUGGUCAUUAGGUACCUGUACCUGUGGUGUUGUAGUAAUUUGUGAGCCACGGGGAGUCAACAAUCUUGCGACCAUGAUAUCAAGACUAAUUAAGUUAUUGGGUGCGGCAUGGUUAAGUGGUGAGGUUGGAGCAACACUAAGCAAUAUUUGGUGGAUAUCUUACGAGAACAUAAUUUAAAUUGGGCAGUUUACGAAUAAACAGGCGUGAGAUGAAAAUGAUCUAGAGGUGAUCCUGAACACCUACUUACGUCAGACAUAACCCCAUCGUGUCCUGAGUCGGAGUAGAAACUAACGAGCACAGACAAUCAUAGUUACGCACAUAGUUGGCAGGUUUUAAUUGAGUUUACUUCAAUUUUUCUAUAACUAGAUGUUAAACAAAUUUCCAAGUUGCCACAUAACCGCAUGCAUGGCUUUCAGAAAGAUAUUAACCCUGUAGGGAUGCUCCAACUAGUCCAUCACAAACUAUCACAAGCUGCUCUGGAGAGAAAACCUCAACCUCAAGGUAGCCCAACGUAUCACCGAUAUCCGAGUGGACAAGACAUUAAUAAAGAGUAAAAAAAUUCCAGCAAGACCGCCCAGUAGGCUAGAUCCCAAUAGGACCCACACGUAUCUCUUUCUCACGGCACUACCAGAUGAGCUAGACGUCGAUUUGGCUGAAACCCCCGGUGACUAGGAGCCGCUGAACAUCGCUUGGUUUGGACCAAUACUCAUGAGGAGCACUCGCCCGGGUUCUUGAUUAAGAUCCAUGGGGUAGCUAUUCCCUAUGCAUUUUUAUUAAGUUCUUUAGCAAAUUUAAUAUCAAUGUUUGGCUUUGCCGGAAGAGUCUUAACUCAAAAUGAAUUAUCAAGGGGGUCCUCAUGACAACCCCAACUGUUUUAAGAGCACUCAAUAUGGAACAUGACACAAGUAACCGGAAACUAGGGCGGCAAAAGAGGAACAAAACACCGAGAAAAAGGCCAAUCCUUCCGCCUUCACAAGGUAUAUAUGUGCACUAAUUUAAAUAGAAAUAAUAAGAUGAUAUUCCAAAUUUCCAUGUCAACACAUGUAUUAACCUGUACCUGCAACUAGCAACGCUAUAAGAAGGUUUGAGAAAGCGCUAACUUAGCUAAUUAACGUUUGCUAGGAUGUGGAGGGGUUAGAGGCUUUUCAAGGCAAUGUUUGGAAGCUUGAUAUUCAGGUGGUAGGCAGAAAUAAAUAGCUAUGGAAAUGAGAAAGCUAAUCAUAAAAAAUUAUAAACGAUAUCAAGGUCACGAUCAUCUUGCCUAGCACUUCUUCUGAGGGAUAAAAGUCUAGCUCUUCAGGAACGUUCUCAACGGGAUACCCGUACUCGUUCUCUGCACUUGAUAGUACCAAAAAUAAAAUACAACAUCCAAUGAACACACAACAAGGCACAAUUCUUCAGACAAUAUGAUACAUGAGUAUGGUAUGAAUGAAGCAGGGCAAUGCUACACUAGUCAUCUUUCUCAUGCAAUUAUUUAGUUAUUACCAUUCUGUAUAGAACCUCAAGAGUAAUUAUUUCGACAUGCAUGACAUGGAAAAAAUAAAUGCAUAAUGAUAAAAUUAUACAAAUGCAUAUAAAGAACGUCACAAACCGAGUUACAGAUCUCUCGAAACUCUCACGACAAGAUACAGAAGGCAAUGAUGAUAAAAACAGAAUUUGAGAGCGGAUAUGGGAAAUUCCUUAGCAUUCCAAGUGUUCCACAGGAUUGGGAACGAAAUUAUUGGUUAAGUAGACCUAAAUUUAAUUCCAAACAAAGGAGCACAACUAAAACAAAGCACGAAACAAUCCAACAAGCAAUAUGUCCACAAACAGCAACAUACCACUUUGUUCAGAUGAAAACGAAUAGCUACAGCGCCCAUCAAGUUCAACCCAAACAUGGAUAUGAAGCUAAAAAAGAGUACAACAACCCCUAACUAAAAUCAACAUGGAUAUGUUCAUGAACCAAUGGCAAUCAAGAUCCUAAUAUGGCAACAAUUAUAACAAAUUAGGACUUGGUGAAAAUUUCAGUUUUAUACUAGCAGUUUUAUCAUGAUGGCAUGUUGAUAGCAAUAAAACUCUAUUCUACAGUAAGUUUCAUAGCAUGAAAUUUGACAGGCUCGUAGAGGACAACAAUCACUAAAAUUCACUCCCACUAACCAUGAGCCAAAACUGAACAAAAACAAUGGUAGCCUCCUCUAAACAUGGCAUGAUGAUAUAAGCAGAUUCUCAAACUUAGUCAAAUUUCACAGGGUGAAUUCACAGCAGUUUACAACAACACGGCAUGUUUGACAGCAACAAUAGCUAAGAUGCAAGGCCUAUUUUUCAAAGUAAUGACUCCAUUUAAUAGAGGGCAACAUGCUAUUUAAUUCACACCACAAUUCCAACACAAAGAACUAGUAUAUGCUUGGCAAUCGUCAUGCCAACACAACUAUUUGAAAUAGUUUUCACACUUAGUCAUCUUUCAACAUACCCAAGCAACAAUAUUGAGAUGGCAUGUUUCGAGCAAGAAAGCUACAAAUAUACAGGGUUUUCAAGGCGAAUAAAAAUACCAGGGCCUAGCACUCCCAAAAUACUACAACUUUCAUUUGACAAGUUUGGCAAAGGGUGCAAGGCUUGCUCCACAAAAAAAAAAUAGGCAUCAUGGUGUCAAAUAGCAUGCACAUCAACUUGCUAAAAAGACAAAACUAAUGUCAUCAUUGGAUUCCUUGGACUUUUCUACCCCAAAAUUACAUAUCAUAAGCAUAUGCUCCUGUAGACAAAUCACCCACAAACUACAACUCAAAAUGCAAUUAACUAGGUAUAACCUAGUAUAUGCCAAAUUAGCAUAUGCUCAAAAUGGACAUGGAUAGAUUUGGAACUUGCCCUAUAAACAAAAAUAAUCCCGCGGGGGGCACCAGUGAUAGUGACACCAAGGCCCCCUAGCUGAAUGACAGGUGGGCCAUAGCGCUCUCGUCAGCUAUUCCAUUUAACACUGAGAGAAAAGAAUGGGGGCUUGGGAGGAUACGAAUCAGAGACAUCGUGGUGGAGCACUACACCUGCUACCACUGGGCUACGCUACGGCGUCGGAUCUAAUCGGUUUCUCGCUUCUUAGAUCAAGCAAAAUGACGGCCACUCUAGCGACCAACAGCCCAGGAGAACGAGGGGGGGGGGGAGCUCAUUNNNNNNNNNNNNNNNNNNNNNNNNNNNNNNNNNNNNNNNNNNNNNNNNNNNNNNNNNNNNNNNNNNNNNNNNNNNNNNNNNNNNNNNNNNNNNNNNNNNNNNNNNNNNNNNNNNNNNNNNNNNNNNNNNNNNNNNNNNNNNNNNNNNNNNNNNNNNNNNNNNNNNNNNNNNNNNNNNNNNNNNNNNNNNNNNNNNNNNNNNNNNNNNNNNNNNNNNNNNNNNNNNNNNNNNNNNNNNNNNNNNNNNNNNNNNNNNNNNNNNNNNNNNNNNNNNNNNNNNNNNNNNNNNNNNNNNNNNNNNNNNNNNNNNNNNNNNNNNNNNNNNNNNNNNNNNGGGGGGGGGGAGCUCAUUCGCUAUGCCGAGGGAAGGUUGCGGGGCGAAGGGGCUCGCUUCAAGCUCGAGGAGGAUCUCUACUCAGCCAUUGCAUGGCGGGGCUGAAGACGAAGCAAGGCGAUGGCGAGCGCUCGCGGAUGCGGCGGGGCGACGCAUAUUUCCACACGCGAGCUGCGGAAAACUACUAAAGCAUGCGCGAGGAAGGGGACGCGAAAUAAACCAAAACCCCUCUUUGAAGAACUCCAUCAGAGAAGCGCCGAGGCGCGGGGUGCAAAGUGACGGCGAGGCCUACAUGGGAGGACACACGCCUGGAUCUGGGAAAAAGCGAGGGGAAUGGGACAGCGGCUACCUCCACUACCUGCUGACGCUCGGAUCUGGCCCGGGUUGCUGCACGACGACGGUGAUGUGUUGUGAAUCCUUGUCGGGAUUCUGCUCCAUGAAACAGAGGACGACGAUGACCAUGCUGCAGGGCUUGGGUCCUAGUGGCGCAUGCGGGGAUGAAGAAAAAGCUGGGACGAGAGAGGUACCAUAC
RNAcentral lists this long non-coding RNA (28267 nucleotides) under Hordeum vulgare. Its description in RNAcentral is "long non-coding RNA (HVUL_LNC001082)". Lineage: Eukaryota; Viridiplantae; Streptophyta; Magnoliopsida; Poales; Poaceae. The record is from RNAcentral.